CACCCCCAGCCCCGCUGCCUGGCUGGAGGCUCCACAGGACAGCUGGGGAGAAGGGGAGAUGUGCCCGAUGGGAUACUAAUCAGCCCUCCCUUGCCAUGCCACACGGCUGGGCAAGUGACAAGAAGUAAGGGCGGAAGCUGCUGAGACUCUGAGCAGGACCGUUAGAUGAAGACUGGAUGUACUCCUACCCAAGGAGGCACUU
This is a long non-coding RNA of Hipposideros armiger (great roundleaf bat), 202 nucleotides long. RefSeq lists it as uncharacterized. NCBI's taxonomy places the organism in Eukaryota, Metazoa, Chordata, Mammalia, Chiroptera, Hipposideridae. The record is from RefSeq and is a predicted model, not a curated record. The transcript has 3 exons.